AUACCCAUUACUACAAAACAACCUUUUUACUCUUUACAAACAGCCCCCUGUUACUUCAAGACUCCCGUAUCAAUGGCACCAAGCGACGUGAAGGUUCUAGGCGCAGCGCCCAGCCCGUACGUGAACCGGGUUCAGAUUGCCCUCAACUUGAAACACGUCGACUACGAGUUUCUCCAGGAGACGUUUGGGUCCAAGAGUGAACUACUGCUGAAAUCGAACCCGGUUCAUAAGAAAAUCCCAGUUAUGAUUCAUGAGGGAAAACCCAUUUGUGAGUCACUUAUCAUUGUGCAGUACAUUGACGAGGUGUGGACCGAUGGCCCGGGUAUUCUUGCUUCGGAUUCGUAUGAUCGAGCCAUGGCCCGGUUUUGGGCUGCCUAUGUUGAUGAAAAGUGGUGGCCGACACUGAGGGGGGUUCGAAAUGCGGAGGGAGACGAGGCAAAAGCGGCAGCACUAGAGCAAGUUAUGGAAGGGAUGCUGCUGUUGGAGGAUGCUUUUGUCAAAUGUUGCAAAGGGAAGGACUUCUUUGGUGGUGACACAAUCGGGUACCUCGAUAUAGCUCUCGGGAGCUUCUUGGGGUGGUUGAAAGCAUCCGAGAAGAUGGCCAAUAUAAAGCUGCUCGAUGAAACCAGGACCCCUGGGCUGUUUGGAUGGGCCGAGAGGUUUGGUUCGAAUGCUGCUGUGAAGGAUGUCAUUCCGGAAACAGAGAAGCUUGUGGAGCUUGUCAAGAUGAUGGCUGCCAGAGCCAAAGCCCAGUAAUUCCCCAAUUCGGUUGUCACCAAGUCAAUAAAUUGGGCCGCUUAGAUUGCUCAAGUUGGUCUCUCUCUUUUUUUUGUUUAUUUUUCACUUUUUGUUUGUUGUUUGUUCGGAGUUUUGUAAUUUAAUAAACAGUCUUGUUUAGGAGUAGCAGUUUUUGGAGUUGCUUUAUACUAGCUUUUUCGUUUUGUUAUUUAGAGAGUUUGUGCCAGUGUGCUGUUUUCAUUUUUUGAUGUAACUCAUACCAAAUAGAAAUGGUUAUUUGGUAUAGAGAUGCUUUUUAAUACAUUCUGAACGGUUCAGAUUAUAUUUUA
Molecule: RNA transcript, 1067 nt
Organism: Rhododendron vialii
Lineage: Eukaryota; Viridiplantae; Streptophyta; Magnoliopsida; Ericales; Ericaceae
Gene name: glutathione S-transferase U17-like
Exons: 3
Source: RefSeq, a predicted model, not a curated record